GCCCGCCUAGCUCAAUCGGAUAGAGCGUCAGACUUUUACGGGCGUCUGACUCGUUAGGCGAUCAAGGCAUCUGAAGGCUGCGAGUUCGACCCUCGCGGUGGGCU
This is a non-coding RNA of Psilocybe cubensis, 104 nucleotides long. Lineage: Eukaryota; Fungi; Basidiomycota; Agaricomycetes; Agaricales; Agrocybaceae. The record is from the annotation of a RefSeq genome assembly.